Sphaeramia orbicularis (orbiculate cardinalfish) is the source of this 244-nucleotide long non-coding RNA. RefSeq lists it as uncharacterized. The record is from RefSeq and is a predicted model, not a curated record. The transcript is spliced from 3 exons. Lineage: Eukaryota; Metazoa; Chordata; Actinopteri; Kurtiformes; Apogonidae.
CUUCUUUGUGUGUUGAGCUGGACAGUCGUGGGUUUGCUAGUAUUCUGCCUAAUGCAUUCUGCGCUAAUGGAGAAUUUCAUGUUAUUCAGAGGCAGCAGACAUGUUACUCUGAAGGAGGAUGACAGAUAACUGAAAAAAUGGUCAGGAUCUUCCAGGUAUUGUUGUUUUGUCUAAUACAGUGCGGCCAUGGUAGCCAAUCUGAGUAGAAGACACUUCACAAAACACACAACAGUUUAAAAACAGG